RNAcentral lists this ribosomal RNA (253 nucleotides) under uncultured bacterium. RNAcentral's name for it is "partial 16S ribosomal RNA". It matches the Rfam family "Bacterial small subunit ribosomal RNA", at positions 524 to 776 of the family's 1533-position model. The record is from RNAcentral.
UACGAAGGGGUCUAGCGUUGCUCGGAAUCACUGGGCGUAAAGCGCACGUAGGCGGCUUCUUAAGUCAGGGGUGAAAUCCUGGAGCUCAACUCCAGAACUGCCUUUGAUACUGAGGAGCUUGAGUCCGGGAGAGGUGAGUGGAACUGCGAGUGUAGAGGUGAAAUUCGUAGAUAUUCGCAAGAACACCAGUGGCGAAGGCGGCUCACUGGCCCGGUACUGACGCUGAGGUGCGAAAGCGUGGGGAGCAAGCAGG